This 550-nucleotide long non-coding RNA is filed under the name Chrysemys picta bellii (western painted turtle). RNAcentral describes it as "lncRNA (ENSCPBG00000021753.1)". The record is from RNAcentral. Lineage: Eukaryota; Metazoa; Chordata; Testudines; Emydidae.
AGCUGGGAGCCAGGACUCCUGGGUUCUCUCCCCAGCUCUGGGAGGGGAGUGGGGCCAGCAGUUGGAGCGGGGGCUCCCUGUGAGUGCUGGGGGGGCACCGUGGGAUGCGGGGGGAGGUUCCCGGCUCUCAUGCGCGCUCUCUCCGGUUCUAGUGGAGUACCAGGCCCUGUGCCCCCGUGGGAACGGCUACGCCGCGACGGGACCCCUCGCCGCGCUCACAGACAUGGACGAGUGCGCGCUCUUCAGCGCCCAGCUGUGCCGGGGGGGCGUCUGCCUCAACAGCGCCCCCGGCUACGCCUGCUACUGCCCCAACGGCUACUACUACGAGACACAUCACCUGGAGUGCAUCGAUAAUGACGAGUGCCGUGACGAGGAGGCAGAGCCCUGCGUGGGGGGGGCUGCGUGAACACCAUCGGCUCCUUCUACUGCACCUGCUCACCCCCCCUCGUGCUGGACGGGUCCCAGCGCCGCUGCGUGGCCAACGACAGCCAGGCCCUGGGUGAGUGACGCCCCCUCCCGGACCGCCCCACACAUGCUCUAGGCCCCCGCA